This is a small nuclear RNA of Hemibagrus wyckioides, 115 nucleotides long. RefSeq annotates it as U5 spliceosomal RNA. The record is from RefSeq and is a predicted model, not a curated record. The transcript has a single exon. NCBI's taxonomy places the organism in Eukaryota, Metazoa, Chordata, Actinopteri, Siluriformes, Bagridae.
UAGCUCUAGUUUUUCUUAAAUCAAGCAUAAGUCUUUUGCUUUUUAUUAAAGAUUUCUAUGGAGGGGAAUAUCAAUGAGCUUGAUAUAUUUUUAUGAGCUUUGCUCUAGCAAAGCU